RNAcentral lists this long non-coding RNA (280 nucleotides) under Mytilus galloprovincialis (Mediterranean mussel). The record is from RNAcentral. Lineage: Eukaryota; Metazoa; Mollusca; Bivalvia; Mytilida; Mytilidae.
AAGAACCAGAUGCUCCGCAGGGCGUAGCUUUAUACGACCGCAGAGGUUGAACCCUGAACGGUUGGGGCAAGUAUGGACACAACAUUCAAGCUGGAUUCAGCUCUAAAUUUGGAUUGUGAUUAAAUAGUUGACACAGCAUAGGUUUCUGACACAGAAUGAAUGUGUUCUAAUGAACUUAAAAUUUUUGAUUUCUCUUAGAGCAAUUCACUAUGCUGUUGAAUAUUAAUCCUCUCAAAAAAAUGUUUGAAGAAAUUUUCUUUUUUAUUUAUGAAAUUUUAAA